AUUGAACGCUGGCGGCAUGCUUUACACAUGCAAGUCGAGCGGCAGCGCGGGGGCAACCCUGGCGGCGAGCGGCGAACGGGUGAGUAAUGCAUCGGAACGUAUCCUCGAGUGGGGGAUAACCCAGCGAAAGUUGGGCUAAUACCGCAUGAGCUCUGAGGAGGAAAGCGGGGGACCUGCGAGGGCCUCGCGCUGGAGGAGCGGCCGAUGUCGGAUUAGCUAGUUGGUGGGGUAAAGGCUUACCAAGGCGACGAUCGGUAGCUGGUCUGAGAGGAGGAUCAGCGGCACUGGGACGGAGACACGGCCCAGGCGCCUACGGGAGGCAGCAGUGGGGAAUUUGGGACAGUGGGGGCAAACCUGAUCCAGUCAGGCCGAGUGAGUGAAGAAGGCCUUCGGGUUGUAAAGCUCGUUCGGACGGAACGAAAUGGGCGGGACUAAUACUCCUGUCUGAUGACGGUACCGGAAGAAGAAGCACCGGCUAACUACGUG
Molecule: ribosomal RNA, 486 nt
Filed under: uncultured bacterium
Lineage: Bacteria
Description: partial 16S ribosomal RNA
Rfam family: Bacterial small subunit ribosomal RNA
Source: RNAcentral